This 198-nucleotide ribosomal RNA is filed under the name uncultured bacterium. Its description in RNAcentral is "partial 16S ribosomal RNA". It matches the Rfam family "Bacterial small subunit ribosomal RNA", at positions 1304 to 1500 of the family's 1533-position model. The record is from RNAcentral.
GCUGCAACUCGCCUACAUGAAGUCGGAAUUGCUAGUAAUCGCGGAUCAGCAUGCCGCGGUGAAUACGUUCCCGGGCCUUGUACACACCGCCCGUCACACCAUGGGAGUCGGUAACACCCGAAGCCUGUAGUCUAACCGCAAGGGGGGACGCAGUCGAAGGUGGGAUUGAUGACUGGGGUGAAGUCGUAACAAGGUAAC